RNAcentral lists this long non-coding RNA (298 nucleotides) under Zalophus californianus (California sea lion). Its description in RNAcentral is "lncRNA (ENSZCAG00015021368.1)". The record is from RNAcentral. Lineage: Eukaryota; Metazoa; Chordata; Mammalia; Carnivora; Otariidae.
GGGAGUGUGAGCUGGGGCGAGUGUGUCCAUCCCUGUUGACCGCACUUUGACACUGACAGGAAGAAGCCGGCCGCUCGCUCCGUAGGAACCUCCUUGCCUGGGGUCCAGUUCUUCCUCUUCACUGCUGGUCAGCCCAAGUGCAGGAACAAGGAACCUGAGAGGCAGCCAGGACUCAUCAGCUGUUUCCCUUGGAAGGGAAACCAUGUUAACUUGGCAACAUCCCAGCCCAUGGACACCAAGACGCGGGCGGCGUGUUCGUCCCAAGAGGGAGAGCAGUCCCGAAGAGCAGUGGCUGUCC